RNAcentral lists this ribosomal RNA (465 nucleotides) under uncultured bacterium. RNAcentral's name for it is "partial 16S ribosomal RNA". It matches the Rfam family "Bacterial small subunit ribosomal RNA", at positions 28 to 507 of the family's 1533-position model. The record is from RNAcentral.
GACGAACGCUGGCGGCGUGCUUAACACAUGCAAGUCGAACGGAAAGGCCCCCUUGUGGGGUACUCGAGUGGCGAACGGGUGAGUAACACGUGAGUAACCUACCCUUGACUUUGGGAUAACUUCAGGAAACUGGGGCUAAUACCGGAUAGGAGCUCCUGCUGCAUGGUGGGGGUUGGAAAGUUUCGGCGGUUGGGGAUGGACUCGCGGCUUAUCAGCUUGUUGGUGGGGUAGUGGCUCACCAAGGCUUUGACGGGUAGCCGGCCUGAGAGGGUGACCGGCCACAUUGGGACUGAGAUACGGCUCAGACUCCUACGGGAGGCAGCAGUGGGGAAUAUUGCACAAUGGGCGGAGGCCUGAUGCAGCAACGCCGCGUGCGGGAUGACGGCCUUCGGGUUGUAAACCGCUUUCGCCUGUGACGAAGCGUGAGUGACGGUAAUGGGUAAAGAAGCACCGGCUAACUACGUG